Molecule: long non-coding RNA, 567 nt
Organism: Ostrea edulis (European flat oyster)
Lineage: Eukaryota; Metazoa; Mollusca; Bivalvia; Ostreida; Ostreidae
Exons: 2
Source: RefSeq, a predicted model, not a curated record
AGAGUUUGACGUUAUCUGCCCGCCAUACUUAACCUCUUGCGAGUUGUCGCUCUUGACUUUCGUUACUACCCUGCUGGUUACCAAAUUGUAUACAAACGAAUGGACAACGCUAAACCGGGUGAUUUAAAAAUCGAAAAAUGGAACGAAGAGAAGGACGGAGAAUUAACAGAAUCCAACAUGGAAAGCAAGUUACGAAGACAAGGUUACACAUCUACAAGAUAUGAUUUUCCUCCGGGGGUGGAUUUUCCAGACCACAAACAUGGAGUUUCAAAGAAAAACUCCAUUCUAAAAGGAAAAAUGAAAUUCUCCAUGUAUGGACAAACAGUUAUUCUGGGCCCAGGGGAUAUGAUACAGGUUCCCAAAGACACAAUGCAUAAUGCUGGGGUGAUGGGAAAUGAUUUCCUUGUGCUUUACGAUUCCACUAGAGACCCAAAUGCUGAAAUCACAAAAGAAGAAUUAAAAACUUAAGACGCUCUGAGACAGAAGUUUUGAAAUGCGAAUAUGAUAGUGUUUGUUUUCUUGUUUUCUUUCAAUAAAAAAAAACGUCCCCACUAAAAAGAAGAAAAA